RNAcentral lists this long non-coding RNA (1027 nucleotides) under Equus asinus (donkey). RNAcentral describes it as "lncRNA (ENSEASG00005036441.1)". Lineage: Eukaryota; Metazoa; Chordata; Mammalia; Perissodactyla; Equidae. The record is from RNAcentral.
GGAAAUUCCAUGCCCUUCCCACAUACCUUGCCCUGUGCAUCCACGUACUGAGAGGAUGACUCACCCCAACUCAGCAGCGACAGAAGCUCCUAUGCUCAGGACCUUCCCAGACUUCCCCCAAGUGUCUCUUCAUCUGGUUGUUCAUCUGUAUCCUUUAUCACAUCCUGUCAUAAACUGGUCAAGGAAGAUUAGCCCUGAGCUAACAUCCACUGCCAAUCCUCCUCUUUUUGCUGAGGAAGACUGGCCCUGAGCUAACACCCAUGCCCAUCUUCCUCUACUUUAUAUGUGGGACACCUGCCACAGCAUGGCCUGACAAGUCCACACCUGAGAUCACAGCCGGGGAACCCCAGGCCACCGAAGUAGAGCCCUCGAACUUCAAUACGACACUGGAUCUGCCCCAAAGUUGCAUUUCUUUUGUUACUAUUAUUGUUACAAAUGGCUUCACAUGUUUACUGAUCAUUUACACUUAGUUUUAAAUCACAUGUCUGUUAUGCUCCGUGCCUAUUCCUACUGGGGUGGUGUCUUUUUCCUAUUGAUUUGUAAUGAUAUCAACACUUUUUCAGAUAUAUAUUGAAUUGUCCUAAUUUAUCCUUUGCCUAUUAAUUUUGUUUAUGAUUUUUUUGAUGCACAAAAUCUUUUUGCUGUCAUAUUUUUCAAUCUUUCCCUUAUGGUUUCUACUUUUGAUAUUAAACUUAGAAUGGCUUUCCCCACAUGGACAUUAUAUGAGUAUUUUCCUCUAUUAUCUUUUUGGUAUCAUUUAUUAUAUUUAAUUCUUUAUCCCGUUUGAAAUUUAUGUUAGUAUGUGGUUUGGGGAAAGAUCAAAUUCUUAAUUUUCUAAGCCAUAUUUAUUCAUUUCCUACCCAUUUUGAAAUGCCACAUUUGUCAUAUUCUGAAUAUUUAAAGUACACCUUGGGGGGCCGGGCAGGUGGCGCAGCGGUUAAGUGCACACGUUGCGCUUUGGCGGCCCAGGGUUUGCCAGUUCAGAUCCCAGGUGCGGACAUGGCACCGCUUGGCAAGCCAUGCUGUG